Molecule: ribosomal RNA, 429 nt
Filed under: bacterium
Lineage: Bacteria
Description: partial 16S ribosomal RNA
Rfam family: Bacterial small subunit ribosomal RNA
Source: RNAcentral
UGGGGAAUCUUCCGCAAUGGACGAAAGUCUGACGGAGCAACGCCGCGUGAGUGAUGACGGCCUUCGGGUUGUAAAGCUCUGUUAAUCGGGACGAAUGGUUCUUGUGCGAAUAGUGCGAGGAUUUGACGGUACCGGAAUAGAAAGCCACGGCUAACUACGUGCCAGCAGCCGCGGUAAUACGUAGGUGGCAAGCGUUGUCCGGAAUUAUUGGGCGUAAAGCGCGCGCAGGCGGAUUGGUCAGUCUGUCUUAAAAGUUCGGGGCUUAACCCCGUGAUGGGAUGGAAACUGCCAAUCUAGAGUAUCGGAGAGGAAAGUGGAAUUCCUAGUGUAGCGGUGAAAUGCGUAGAUAUUAGGAAGAACACCAGUGGCGAAGGCGACUUUCUGGACGAAAACUGACGCUGAGGAGCGAAAGCCAGGGGAGCGAACGGG